RNAcentral lists this ribosomal RNA (395 nucleotides) under uncultured bacterium. Its description in RNAcentral is "bacterial SSU rRNA". It matches the Rfam family "Bacterial small subunit ribosomal RNA", at positions 505 to 898 of the family's 1533-position model. The record is from RNAcentral.
GUGUCAGCAGCCGCGGUAAGACGAACCGUACGAACGUUAUUCGGAAUCACUGGGCUUAAAGGGUGCGUAGGCGGUGCGGAAAGUUGGGUGUGAAAUCCCUUGGCUCAACCAAGGAACUGCGCUCAAAACUACCGUGCUUGAGGGAGACAGAGGUGAGCGGAACUUAGGGUGGAGCGGUGAAAUGCGUUGAUAUCCUAAGGAACACCGGUGGCGAAGGCGGCUCACUGGGUCUCUUCUGACGCUGAGGCACGAAAGCUAGGGUAGCGAACGGGAUUAGAUACCCCGGUAGUCCUAGCUGUAAACGAUGAGCACUGGGUUGGAGGGUCCUCCAUAGCCUUCCAGCCGUAGCGAAAGUGUUAAGUGCUCCGCCUGGGGAGUAUGGUCGCAAGGCUGAA